This 72-nucleotide transfer RNA is filed under the name bacterium. RNAcentral's name for it is "tRNA-Thr". It matches the Rfam family "tRNA". Rfam says of the family: Transfer RNA (tRNA) molecules are approximately 80 nucleotides in length. Their secondary structure includes four short double-helical elements and three loops (D, anti-codon, and T loops). The record is from RNAcentral.
GCCUGUAUAGUUAUAAUGGUAAAACACUUCUUUGGUAUGGAUGAGUUGUGGGUUCGAUUCCCACUAUGGGCU